Molecule: non-coding RNA, 26 nt
Filed under: Mus musculus (house mouse)
Lineage: Eukaryota; Metazoa; Chordata; Mammalia; Rodentia; Muridae
Source: RNAcentral
UGCUCCACUAUCUAAGCAUGCAGUCU